RNAcentral lists this ribosomal RNA (543 nucleotides) under uncultured Glomus. RNAcentral describes it as "SSU rRNA". It matches the Rfam family "Eukaryotic small subunit ribosomal RNA", at positions 548 to 1093 of the family's 1831-position model. Lineage: Eukaryota; Fungi; Glomeromycota; Glomeromycetes; Glomerales; Glomeraceae. The record is from RNAcentral.
UUGGAGGGCAAGUCUGGUGCCAGCAGCCGCGGUAAUUCCAGCUCCAAUAGCGUAUAUUAAAGUUGUUGCAGUUAAAAAGCUCGUAGUUGAAUUUCGGGAUCAAUUUAUUGGUCGUGCAAUCGUACGUACUGGUAUUAUUGAUUCCUACCUUCUGACGAACCAUGAUGUCAUUAAUUUGGUGUCAUGGGGAAUCAGGACUGUUACUUUGAAAAAAUUAGAGUGUUUAAAGCAGGCUCACGCUUGAAUACAUUAGCAUGGAAUAACGAAAUAGGACGUUUGAUUCUAUUUUGUUGGUUUCUAGGAUCGACGUAAUGAUUAAUAGGGAUAGUUGGGGGCAUUAGUAUUCAAUUGUCAGAGGUGAAAUUCUUGGAUUUAUUGAAGACUAACUACUGCGAAAGCAUUUGCCAAGGAUGUUUUCAUUAAUCAAGAACGAAAGUUAGGGGAUCGAAGACGAUCAGAUACCGUCGUAGUCUUAACCAUAAACUAUGCCGACUAGGGAUCGGAUGAUGUUAAUUUUUUAAUGACUCAUUCGGCGCCUUACGG